This 497-nucleotide ribosomal RNA is filed under the name uncultured bacterium. RNAcentral describes it as "partial 16S ribosomal RNA". It matches the Rfam family "Bacterial small subunit ribosomal RNA", at positions 28 to 507 of the family's 1533-position model. The record is from RNAcentral.
GAUGAACGCUGGCGGCGUGCCUAAUACAUGCAAGUCGAGCGAACAGACGAGGAGCUUGCUCCUCUGACGUUAGCGGCGGACGGGUGAGUAACACGUGGAUAACCUACCUAUAAGACUGGGAUAACUUCGGGAAACCGGAGCUAAUACCGGAUAAUAUAUUGAACCGCAUGGUUCAAUAGUGAAAGACGGUUUUGCUGUCACUUAUAGAUGGAUCCGCGCCGCAUUAGCUAGUUGGUAAGGUAACGGCUUACCAAGGCAACGAUGCGUAGCCGACCUGAGAGGGUGAUCGGCCACACUGGAACUGAGACACGGUCCAGACUCCUACGGGAGGCAGCAGUAGGGAAUCUUCGGCAAUGGGCGAAAGCCUGACGGAGAAACGCCGCGUGAGUGAUGAAGGUCUUCGGAUCGUAAAACUCUGUUAUUAGGAAAGAACAAAUGUGUAAGUAACUAUGCACGUCUUGACGGUACCUAAUCAGAAAGCCACGGCUAACUACGUG